UCCCUAACAUGUCCCGGAACAUGGGUGAUCGGGACGUCAGUGGUGUUGGUGCGCGUGCACUUGCCCACGUGCGUAAACAUUUGGAUGUAAACAUUUCUGCAUCUUCCUUAAAACCACAGCGCAUAAAAGGAAACAAGUACACGAACAGAAAGGAGACGCUUCUGAACGCCGGUUACCGCGAGACCAAAACGUCAAAUUUCGUACGGUGCAAAAUUGUAGUUUAAAAAAUCUGAUACACACCGGCCGAUUUGAGACACCGAAUCAUGAUUUGCUCGCAACACCCGCAGCAGAUGCCCAGAAAACCUGCGCCAGUGAAAUGAGUUUCGUUUUUAUUUUUCAAUGUUAAUAAAAUAUUGUAAAUGCUUGUAAAUCAAUAUCUUUCAUUAUAUAUGUAAGUAAAAAUCGCUUUGUGUGAUAUUUAUUCAUUUUAACCUUAUAUUUUAGAACUGCGAUGCUAUCAUCAUCAAUUUUUGGCUUCAGUUUGGCGCCAUUUUCGCUGAUGCUAGACGUGCUUGCUUGAAUGCUUUGAAUGUGAGUUUGCAGCGGGAAUCGGGAAGUCUCGCGCUUUGGAGCACGCAUUUUUGAGUGCUGGUCGGCGGGACCGGAAGACUGCGCAGAAGUGGAUCCCGCAUUUUUCAUGGCGAGCAUGGCUUGUGGCAGUGAGAAGUUUGCUGUAGUGGUAUUCCCCGAUGAGAAAAACACCCUGGCUGUUGUCUACAGGUCGUGGCUGAGUGCCAGAUAUGACAGAACAUUCUGGCCUCAAGUAAAGAACCCAGAUAAGCACCGGCGAAUGGUCAUAGAAGGAGCCACACCAUAACCUGAUUGGAGCCAGGCAAGAUGUGUAGUAAAGUUUUGGACUGAUGACUAUGAGAUGGCACAUGAGAAAAUGGGGAAAUGGCAAUGCAGAUCACCUGGUUCGGUACCAAAGGCAAGCAAAAGUUCAUUGAGCUCAAUAUCUGCAAGCUCUUAUGCAGCACCCUGGUCGACUGUGAUGGCUCGGUCGCAGAGAAUAUCAAGCAAGCCACGCUGAAGGAUAUUGAGAAGGCCGGCAUGUCGUGGUUCCGCCAUGCAACAGAACAAGCAGCAGGAGAGGACACAGCCUUGGCUGCAACAAGGAGCCCAACAGCAGCUGAUGCUGGCACAGAUUAAACACAUUCUGUAAUCAUUUUUUUGUCCUGGCACCGACUAAACACUG
This is a long non-coding RNA of Ixodes scapularis (black-legged tick), 1195 nucleotides long. RefSeq lists it as uncharacterized. NCBI's taxonomy places the organism in Eukaryota, Metazoa, Arthropoda, Arachnida, Ixodida, Ixodidae. The transcript is spliced from 5 exons. The record is from RefSeq and is a predicted model, not a curated record.